CGGACGGGUGAGUAAUGUCUGGGAAACUGCCCGAUGGAGGGGGAUAACUACUGGAAACGGUAGCUAAUACCGCAUAACGUCGCAAGACCAAAGAGGGGACCUUAGGGCCUCUUGCCAUCGGAUGUGCCCAGAUGGGAUUAGCUAGUAGGUGGGGUAAUGGCUCACCUAGGCGACGAUCCCUAGCUGGUCUGGGAGGAUGACCAGCCACACUGGAACUGAGACACGGUCCAG
This 231-nucleotide ribosomal RNA is filed under the name uncultured bacterium. RNAcentral's name for it is "partial 16S ribosomal RNA". It matches the Rfam family "Bacterial small subunit ribosomal RNA", at positions 99 to 334 of the family's 1533-position model. The record is from RNAcentral.